GUGCUCACUUCAGAUACACAAAUGCUAAAAUUAAAAUGAUACAGAGAAGACUAGCAUGGCCCCUGCACAAGGAUGACACAAAGUCAGAAAGCAUUUCAUAUGGAA
Molecule: small nuclear RNA, 105 nt
Organism: Erinaceus europaeus (western European hedgehog)
Lineage: Eukaryota; Metazoa; Chordata; Mammalia; Eulipotyphla; Erinaceidae
Source: Ensembl